GUGCUUGCUUCGGUAGCACAUAUACUAAAAUUGGAAUGAUACAGAGAAGAUUACCAUGGCCUCUGCACAAGGACAACACAGAAAUUCAUGAAGAAUUCCAUCAAAAA
Suncus etruscus (white-toothed pygmy shrew) is the source of this 107-nucleotide small nuclear RNA. The record is from RefSeq and is a predicted model, not a curated record. NCBI's taxonomy places the organism in Eukaryota, Metazoa, Chordata, Mammalia, Eulipotyphla, Soricidae.